This is a non-coding RNA of Mycena metata, 81 nucleotides long. NCBI's taxonomy places the organism in Eukaryota, Fungi, Basidiomycota, Agaricomycetes, Agaricales, Mycenaceae. The record is from the annotation of a GenBank genome assembly.
GCGCUCUUGGUGUAACGGUAACACAUGCUCACUUUCAUUUGAACAACCAAGGGGUCCCAGGUUCGACUCUCGGACAGCGCC